GAUAUCCGAAUGGGGAAACCCAGUAUCCAAUGGAUACUAUCAUUAACUGAAUCCAUAGGUUAAUGAGGCGAACCGGGAGAACUGAAACAUCUCAGUACCCCGAGGAAAAGAAAUCAACCGAGAUUCCCCCAGUAGCGGCGAGCGAACGGGGAGCAGCCCGGAGUCUGAAUCAGCUUGUGUGUUAGUGGAACGGUCUGGAAAGUCCGACGGUACAGGGUGAAAGUCCCGUACACGAAAGCACACUUGCUGUGAACUCGAAGAGUAGGGCGGGACACGUGGUAUCCUGUCUG
This 290-nucleotide ribosomal RNA is filed under the name Staphylococcus aureus. RNAcentral describes it as "partial 23S ribosomal RNA". It matches the Rfam family "Bacterial large subunit ribosomal RNA", at positions 109 to 440 of the family's 2925-position model. The record is from RNAcentral. Lineage: Bacteria; Bacillati; Bacillota; Bacilli; Caryophanales; Staphylococcaceae.